UAAUAAUGCAAGUCGAACGAGAAAGUCACUUCGGUGGCGAGUACAGUGGCGCACGGGUGAGUAACGCGUAGGUGACAUGCCUGUUAGUGGGGGACAACAUCGGGAAACCGGUGCUAAUACCGCAUAAGUUAAACGACAUUGAAAAAGUUUAAGAAAGGGGCUUCGGUCUCGCUGACAGAUUGGCCUGCGUAUCAUUAGCUUGUUGGUGGGGUAAUGGCCUACCAAGGCGACGAUGAUUAACUGGUCUGAGAGGAUGAUCAGUCACACUGGAACUGAGACACGGUCCAGGCUCCUACGGGAGGCAGCAGUAGGGAAUAUUGCACAAUGGGGGAAACCCUGAUGCAGCAAUGCCACGUGAGUGAGGAAGGCCUUCGGGUUGUAAAGCUCUGUCCUAUAGGAAGAACGGCACUAGGUAACGCUAGUGUCUGACGGUACUAUAGAAGAAAGCACCGGCU
Molecule: ribosomal RNA, 455 nt
Filed under: uncultured bacterium
Lineage: Bacteria
Description: bacterial SSU rRNA
Rfam family: Bacterial small subunit ribosomal RNA
Source: RNAcentral